Molecule: long non-coding RNA, 3357 nt
Organism: Marmota flaviventris (yellow-bellied marmot)
Lineage: Eukaryota; Metazoa; Chordata; Mammalia; Rodentia; Sciuridae
Source: RefSeq, a predicted model, not a curated record
GUUUGCUCAGCCGGGGUUUAAUCUCCAAAACAGGAAGGCUGCAGAGACAACUGUACUGAGCCUGCCAGGUUCAACCCCCGGCCUCCUCUUGCCUAGCCUCCAGUGCCCCCUCCUCCCGUAGCCCUGAGGCUGGCCUCAAGGCAGCCUUCUGUGACCUCUGCCCUGGCCCUCAUUGCCUCUGCUGCACCCCAGGCCUAAGGGUGGCACUUCAGGGAGAGGAGGACUCAGCCCUCUCCUGAUCCCGAGCAUCUGCUGAAUGGCUACUUCCCUGGGACUCCUGAGCGUCCAGUGGACAUAUUCCCUGAGGGCUCAUUACCCUAAGGAACAGCAGUCUGGGCCCCGGACAGACAGGGUCUGCUUUGAAGCCCGGCCUGGUGACCCCUCCAGACACAAGGGAGGGCCUGGGGACAAGCCAUGCUGAGGCCUUCCGAGGCAGCGGCUCGCUAGUAGGUCACAGGGGAGUCCUCAGGGUCACUUGGCUUGUACUGGGCAACCAUCAAACCCUCCCCUUCCUGAAACUGGAAUGUGAUGGAGAUGCUGGACCCACGUGCAAUGGUGGAGAUAGAAGGGGGACAAGGCACAGCCAGUCUUGCCGCUGGGACUCUCCUGAAAACGGAAUUCUACGCAGGAUCAGCAGGAUCCAAUAAAAGGGGUGUCAUGAGGGCACCUCAAGGAGGCCUGGGCAUGAGUGUGGGCGAGCGGCCACCAGGCCCUGGGCCAGCGAGGAGGCUGGGCUCCCAGCGCUUGCCCCCUCAGAUUGCCCCACCAGCCGGAAGCCGCCUCCUGCAGUGUGAUCACGCAUGCCAUGCCGGUGUCAACUCAGAUGAUCUUCCAGAGCUCUUUACAAGAUGUGGAAACUGAAAUUCAGCGGUCCUCCAGCCAGGAGGUGCAGCCAGGACUGGAAGCGAGGUCUGCGGGUCUCCACCUUCUGGGGGCUUCCUUGGCCCCCCAGCAGAGGCCUGGCAGCAGCUGCUCUGUCCCUCAGAAACCACCUGGGGGCUCAGCUUUCCUGUCUGUGAAAUGGAGUCCUGUCUGCCGGCAGGACUCCCAGGGCCAGGGAGGGAAGGACAGUGUCCCUGGACAUGGACAAAGGAGCUGAGGCCAGGUGUGCCUGGCCUGGUCUCAGGACCCCAGCUCAGCAGACACAGGUCAGGGCAGGCCCAGCCCAGCUGGCCUGCUGGCCAGAUCCCUCCAGGGCCUCUGUGGGGAGGUGGUGGGAACGGGCCUGCUCUCUGCCUCCCAGCCCCCACGUGCACCCCCCUGGGGCCUGGUCAGCGGCUCAGGUGUCCCCGCACAGCAGGUUCCUCGUCUCUUCUUGUCCUCGCCUCUGUGGAGUCUGAGGGAGGUUACUCCCCAGGGGCCACGGGCAGCUCUGUCCCUGCUGGUGAGGACAGCAGGCAGGCGGGGUGGCCGUCUGGCUGAGGGAGGGAGGGGCCAGUCCUGAUGCCAUCUCCUCCUGUCCCCCAGGAGGCGGGACCGCCCAGGUGUAUCCACAGGGACCUUCCCUGAGGCCCCUUCCCACGACCUCUGUGUCCGCCCCCCCCAUGGUGUCUGGGUCUAGGCUCUCUUAGUCUGUAGCCUGCUCGUCCAGUCUCAGGCCCUUGGGUCAGGCAAGGCCAGGGGACUGUGGCUGCAGCUUGCUGACUCUCCACACCAGCACCUGAGAGUCUGCUGUCUCUGUUGCCCAGUUCUUCUUGGCAGGUCAGGAUCCCCCAAUUUUACAGGCACUGAAAGGGAGGCUCAUUGUGUGUGUGUGUGUGGUGGGGGUAGUAGGGAGGCCCUGCCUGCAAACUGCCUGACAGCCACUUCUUAUCCACCGUGCCAAGCCUGUUUUGGAAUUGACAUUGGGACCUCCCUGGGAAACUGAGGCUGGGAGGGGUGACACUUUGCUCAAGGGUGUGCUUAUCUGCCUUUUGGAGCCAUAUUGUUGGAGCUUAAAUCUUGACUGUGCUGAGUGACCUCAGGUGAGGCACAUAACCUCUCUGUGCCCCUCCCCGCCUUUUGAUUCUCUCCAUGGCCCCCUGAUCUUCGUGGGGUCUGAGUCUGGCAGCACGGCCUGGUGGCUUUCAUUCAUCUGCAUUGCUGCAAGUUGGGAAACUGAGGCUCAGAGAAGGCAGAGCCCCGGACGAAGCCCAGCCUGGGUUUAGUGGGUGCUGAGGAGCUGGUGGGUGGACUGGGCCAGGGGCUGGGGGUGGAAGGAGGAAAGCAGAGCUGGGGGUGGGGCCUGGGGCUCCUGGGGCACAGAUCUGGGCCCUUUCCCAGAUGGGUGGGCCUGUUCUGACUCGCCGGCUGGGCUCCAGGCUGGGGGCGCCCACACAGCGGCAGAUCCCUGAGCCCCAGAGGGGCCUUUGCCAACCUCUGAGAGCAGCUGCCUGGCCCACUGCAGCUGCAGGAGGCUGGCAGCCAGUGGGGGCCGCUUCGGCUCACCUUCACCCCAACCAGGACCUGGGAGGGGGAGGCCGCCCAAGCCGGUGUCCACCCCAGGUGCAGAGGCCCCGCCCCUCCUGCAGGCUCUCUGCUUGCUGAGGAAGAUCAACCCAGGGCAUGGUGGGCUCAGGAGGCCUGGACCAGCACAUCUCCUCAUCCACUCACAGAUACUGUGUCACAGGCCCUCGCUGGGUGCCCCUGGGCAAGUCUCUUGCCCUCUCUGAGCUGCGAUGCCUUCCAUUUGGCAGAGAAGUGCCACCCUCACGACUGGUCAGCUGAGAGUCUCCAAGAGGGCACAGGCUGGGGGCAGCCACCCGCCCCCUACUGUGCAGCCAAUUGCAGCUGCAAGGUCGGAGCUUCCAAGGUCUCCCCAGAGAGUUCCAGAAUCCCAGUCUUCCCAAGCCCUUGGGGGAGAGGCUGCCCGCCUGUGUUCCGCUGCCUUCUUGGGGCUCCUGAUAAUCCUUCCCCACAGUGGGGUGCAGGGGUGGGGGUCUUGCUGCUCCAUCUCCUGAGAGGCCCUGUGAAGGUGGUGUCCCCCUCCUGAGCCCCUGUGACUGAGGAACGGAAGCUGCCCCAGGGGGCUCUCUCACCACAACCCACCCCUGAGUUUUGACCCUCCUGCUGUCCCCACCUCCUAAGGACUGUCGCCACAUGGGGGCCCAUGAGUUCAUCUCACAAGGUCUGGGGAGGCCUCGGAGCUCUGUCAGGAGGCCCAAGUCUGAUCAGCAAGGCUGGGGUGGUCUCCCCACUGGACAGCCAGGCUCUGCCUUCCAGGGGCCUCAUUAGCCUCGGGCUGGGGCUGGGGUGGUGGUAGAGCGCUUGCCCAACCCUGGGCCCCAUCCUCAGCACCAGCUAAUAGUAAGUAAAUAAAUAAAAUACAGGUCUGUGGUCCAUUUACAGCUAAAAAUAAAUAAAUAAAUUUUAAUUAAA